This 22-nucleotide microRNA is filed under the name Triops cancriformis. RNAcentral describes it as "tcf-miR-10346". Lineage: Eukaryota; Metazoa; Arthropoda; Branchiopoda; Notostraca; Triopsidae. The record is from miRBase by way of RNAcentral.
AAAUAAACUGAUCGAGGUGCUU